RNAcentral lists this ribosomal RNA (1144 nucleotides) under Salmonella enterica. RNAcentral's name for it is "partial 23S ribosomal RNA". It matches the Rfam family "Bacterial large subunit ribosomal RNA", at positions 1163 to 2290 of the family's 2925-position model. The record is from RNAcentral. Lineage: Bacteria; Pseudomonadati; Pseudomonadota; Gammaproteobacteria; Enterobacterales; Enterobacteriaceae.
GCGGAAGAUGUAACGGGGCUAAACCAUGCACCGAAGCUGCGGCAGCGACACUGUGUGUUGUUGGGUAGGGGAGCGUUCUGUAAGCCUGUGAAGGUGUGUCGUGAGGCAUGCUGGAGGUAUCAGAAGUGCGAAUGCUGACAUAAGUAACGAUAAAGCGGGUGAAAAGCCCGCUCGCCGGAAGACCAAGGGUUCCUGUCCAACGUUAAUCGGGGCAGGGUGAGUCGACCCCUAAGGCGAGGCCGAAAGGCGUAGUCGAUGGGAAACGGGUUAAUAUUCCCGUACUUGGUGUUACUGCGAAGGGGGGACGGAGAAGGCUAUGUUGGCCGGGCGACGGUUGUCCCGGUUUAAGCGUGUAGGUGUGUGUUCCAGGUAAAUCCGGUUCACUUUAACACUGAGGCGUGACGACGAGGCACUACGGUGCUGAAGCAACAAAUGCCCUGCUUCCAGGAAAAGCCUCUAAGCAUCAGGUAACAUCAAAUCGUACCCCAAACCGACACAGGUGGUCAGGUAGAGAAUACCAAGGCGCUUGAGAGAACUCGGGUGAAGGAACUAGGCAAAAUGGUGCCGUAACUUCGGGAGAAGGCACGCUGACACGUAGGUGAAGUGAUUUACUCAUGGAGCUGAAGUCAGUCGAAGAUACCAGCUGGCUGCAACUGUUUAUUAAAAACACAGCACUGUGCAAACACGAAAGUGGACGUAUACGGUGUGACGCCUGCCCGGUGCCGGAAGGUUAAUUGAUGGGGUCAGCGCAAGCGAAGCUCCUGAUCGAAGCCCCGGUAAACGGCGGCCGUAACUAUAACGGUCCUAAGGUAGCGAAAUUCCUUGUCGGGUAAGUUCCGACCUGCACGAAUGGCGUAAUGAUGGCCAGGCUGUCUCCACCCGAGACUCAGUGAAAUUGAACUCGCUGUGAAGAUGCAGUGUACCCGCGGCAAGACGGAAAGACCCCGUGAACCUUUACUAUAGCUUGACACUGAACAUUGAGCCUUGAUGUGUAGGAUAGGUGGGAGGCUUUGAAGUGUGGACGCCAGUCUGCAUGGAGCCGACCUUGAAAUACCACCCUUUAAUGUUUGAUGUUCUAACGUGGACCCGUUACCCGGGUUGCGGACAGUGUCUGGUGGGUAGUUUGACUGGGGCGGUCUCCUCC